GCCAGGGUAGCUCAGUGGUAGAGCAGAGGACUCAUAAGCCUUUGGUCGCCGGUUCAAUCCCGGCCCCUGGCACCA
RNAcentral lists this transfer RNA (75 nucleotides) under Opitutus sp. RNAcentral describes it as "tRNA-Met". It matches the Rfam family "tRNA". Rfam says of the family: Transfer RNA (tRNA) molecules are approximately 80 nucleotides in length. Their secondary structure includes four short double-helical elements and three loops (D, anti-codon, and T loops). The record is from RNAcentral. Lineage: Bacteria; Pseudomonadati; Verrucomicrobiota; Opitutia; Opitutales; Opitutaceae. RNAcentral also lists the same sequence under 11 other names.